UAUUUUUGCAUUUGACUACACUUCGGAAGAGUAAAUGAUAAAGAAGUCCUUCCAGAUAUCUGUUCAACUAAAACUCAGCACCAAGUUUACUUUAUGAAGAGGGCAGGAGUCUGGCCUAGCCCCUGUGUGUCAAGAUCUCAGCUGCAGUGGAGGCUGAGAAGUUGCUUUUCUUUUAAAGAAUAUCAGAAAUACUGACCAGACCUUUUGACUUCCAGUUAUCUGUCCUAUCUCAAGAUGCCAACUGACGUUCCUUUCUUUUUCAUUAAUCCAUGAUAGAUACAUGUUUAUGUGGAACAGUAUGCUUGAAUGUAAUGUGUACAGAUGAAAAGGGGUAAUUUAAGCAUUUCUUUUUUUUAAGAAUUUACUUAUGUUUAUGAGUACACUGUAGCUGUCUUCAGACACACUAGAAGAGGGCAUUGGAGUCAUUACAGAUGGUUGUGAGCCACCAUGUGGUUGCUGGGAAUUGAGCUCAAGACCUCUGGAAAAGCAGUCAGUGCUCUUAACCUCUGAGACAUCUCUCCAGCCCCCUGAAGUUUUUUUUUUUCUCUCUCUCUCUCUCUCUCUUUCUUUCUUUCUUUCUUUCUCUCUUUCUCUCUUUCUCUCUUUCUCUCUUUCUCUCUUUCUCUCUUUCUCUCUUUCUCUCUUUCUCUCUUUCUCUCUUUCUCUCUCUCUUUCUCUUUCUCUCUCUUUCUUUUUUUUCUUUCUCCCACAAAGAUUGCCCUAGAUUGUGGAGUCUGGCUGUGUAAGGCACUUGAUCAAGAUACAUGAGGCUCUGAAAUCUAUCUGUAGUACCCAAAGAAAUGGAGCUAGGCAUGGUAGCACAUACCUGUAAUCCCAGCACUUGGGAGGCAGAGGCAGGAAGAGCCUGGAGUUCAAGGUGACCCUGGGCCAUAUAAUGAGACUCUAUCUCAAAGAAACAAUGAGACAGCCCUCCCUCCCCCCCAAAAAAAAAAAA
This is a long non-coding RNA of Rattus norvegicus (Norway rat), 955 nucleotides long. RefSeq annotates it as apolipoprotein A-II like 1. The transcript has a single exon. The record is from RefSeq and is marked validated. Lineage: Eukaryota; Metazoa; Chordata; Mammalia; Rodentia; Muridae.